RNAcentral lists this ribosomal RNA (569 nucleotides) under uncultured Methylotenera sp. RNAcentral's name for it is "bacterial SSU rRNA". It matches the Rfam family "Bacterial small subunit ribosomal RNA", at positions 8 to 572 of the family's 1533-position model. The record is from RNAcentral. Lineage: Bacteria; Pseudomonadati; Pseudomonadota; Betaproteobacteria; Nitrosomonadales; Methylophilaceae.
AGGGUUUGAUCAUGGCUCAGAUUGAACGCUGGCGGAAUGCUUUACACAUGCAAGUCGAACGGCAGCACGGACUUCGGUCUGGUGGCGAGUGGCGAACGGGUGAGUAAUGUAUCGGAACGUAUCCAGUAAUGGGGGAUAACUAAUCGAAAGGUUGGCUAAUACCGCAUACGCCCUACGGGGGAAAGCAGGGGAUCUUCGGACCUUGCGUUAAUGGAGCGGCCGAUAUCUGAUUAGCUAGUUGGUGAGGUAAGAGCUCACCAAGGCGACGAUCAGUAGCUGGUCUGAGAGGACGACCAGCCACACUGGAACUGAGACACGGUCCAGACUCCUACGGGAGGCAGCAGUGGGGAAUUUUGGACAAUGGGCGCAAGCCUGAUCCAGCCAUUCCGCGUGAGUGAAGAAGGCCUUCGGGUUGUAAAGCUCUUUCGCAAGGGAAGAAACGAUGCAGACGAAUAAUCUGUGUUAAUGACGGUACCUUGAUAAGAAGCACCGGCUAACUACGUGCCAGCAGCCGCGGUAAUACGUAGGGUGCAAGCGUUAAUCGGAAUUACUGGGCGUAAAGCGUGCGC